Molecule: ribosomal RNA, 500 nt
Filed under: Bacillus thuringiensis
Lineage: Bacteria; Bacillati; Bacillota; Bacilli; Caryophanales; Bacillaceae
Description: bacterial SSU rRNA
Rfam family: Bacterial small subunit ribosomal RNA
Source: RNAcentral
GGCUCAGGAUGAACGCUGGCGGCGUUCCUAAUACAUGCAAGUCGAGCGAAUGGGUUAAGAGCUUGCUCUUAUGAAGUUAGCGGCGGACGGGUGAGUAACACGUGGGUAACCUGCCCAUAAGACUGGGAUAACUCCGGGAAACCGGGGCUAAUACCGGAUAACAUUUUGAACCGCAUGGUUCGAAAUUGAAAGGCGGCUUCGGCUGUCACUUAUGGAUGGACCCGCGUCGCAUUAUCUAGUUGGUGAGGUAACGGCUCACCAAGGCAACGAUGCGUAGCCGACCUGAGAGGGUGAUCGGCCACACUGGGACUGAGACACGGCCCAGACUCCUACGGGAGGCAGCAGUAGGGAAUCUUCCGCAAUGGACGAAAGUCUGACGGAGCAACGCCGCGUGAGUGAUGAAGGCUUUCGGGUCGUAAAACUCUGUUGUUAGGGAAGAACAAGUGCUAGUUGAAUAACCUGGCACCUUGACGGUCCCUACCCAGAAAGCCACGGCAAAC